Molecule: small nucleolar RNA, 232 nt
Filed under: Neonectria ditissima
Lineage: Eukaryota; Fungi; Ascomycota; Sordariomycetes; Hypocreales; Nectriaceae
Description: Small nucleolar RNA snR191
Rfam family: Small nucleolar RNA snR191
Source: Rfam by way of RNAcentral
CCCCAAUGUUCUUUGUCAGGAUCCCAUCCUUUUUCUUCCAGUGGUGGUGGUCUGUUAUAACAUUGGGAGAUUGACUGCCUUUGUCGACUGUUGCAACCUCGUGUUGUCAACUGAUGUGUUCCGUUUUGGAUACCGUCAUGAGAAAGGCUGCGUGUCAGAUUUGAGUUGAAGUAUACCUAUGCCGUUCUUUCUGGCAUUGAUUGUACGCUUCUUAGUGAUGACACAUACAUAA